This 274-nucleotide ribosomal RNA is filed under the name uncultured bacterium. RNAcentral describes it as "partial 16S ribosomal RNA". It matches the Rfam family "Bacterial small subunit ribosomal RNA", at positions 523 to 796 of the family's 1533-position model. The record is from RNAcentral.
AUACGGAGGGUCCAAGCGUUAUCCGGAAUCAUUGGGUUUAAAGGGUUCGCAGGCGGUCAAUUAAGUCAGAGGUGAAAGCCCAUCGCUCAACGAUGGAACUGCCUUUGAUACUGGUUGACUUGAGUUAUACGGAAGUAGAUAGAAUAAGUAGUGUAGCGGUGAAAUGCAUAGAUAUUACUUAGAAUACCGAUUGCGAAGGCAGUCUACUACGUAUAUACUGACGCUGAGGGACGAAAGCGUGGGGAGCGAACAGGAUUAGAUACCCUAGUAGUCC